This 495-nucleotide ribosomal RNA is filed under the name uncultured bacterium. RNAcentral describes it as "partial 16S ribosomal RNA". It matches the Rfam family "Bacterial small subunit ribosomal RNA", at positions 28 to 523 of the family's 1533-position model. The record is from RNAcentral.
GAUGAACGCUGGCGGCGUGCUUAACACAUGCAAGUCGAACGAAGCACUUGAAACAGAUUCUUCGGAUGAAGUUUCCUGUGACUGAGUGGCGGACGGGUGAGUAACGCGUGGGUAACCUGCCUCAUACAGGGGGAUAACAGUUAGAAAUGGCUGCUAAUACCGCAUAAGCGCACGGCAUCGCAUGAUGCAGUGUGAAAAACUCCGGUGGUAUGAGAUGGACCCGCGUUGGAUUAGCUAGUUGGCAGGGCAACGGCCUACCAAGGCGACGAUCCAUAGCCGGCCUGAGAGGGUGGACGGCCACAUUGGGACUGAGACACGGCCCAGACUCCUACGGGAGGCAGCAGUGGGGAAUAUUGCACAAUGGGGGAAACCCUGAUGCAGCGACGCCGCGUGAGCGAAGAAGUAUUUCGGUAUGUAAAGCUCUAUCAGCAGGGAAGAAAAUGACGGUACCUGACUAAGAAGCCCCGGCUAACUACGUGCCAGCAGCCGCCGUAA